RNAcentral lists this ribosomal RNA (726 nucleotides) under uncultured Bacilli bacterium. Its description in RNAcentral is "bacterial SSU rRNA". It matches the Rfam family "Bacterial small subunit ribosomal RNA", at positions 46 to 758 of the family's 1533-position model. Lineage: Bacteria; Bacillati; Bacillota; Bacilli. The record is from RNAcentral.
GAGUUCUGAUUAUUGAAAGGUGCUUGCAUCUUGAUUUAAUUUUGAACGAGUGGCGGACGGGUGAGUAACACGUGGGUAACCUGCCCUUAAGUGGGGGAUAACAUUUGGAAACAGAUGCUAAUACCGCAUAAAUCCAAGAACCGCAUGGUUCUUGGCUGAAAGAUGGCGUAAGCUAUCGCUUUUGGAUGGACCCGCGGCGUAUUAGCUAGUUGGUGAGGUAACGGCUCACCAAGGCAAUGAUACGUAGCCGAACUGAGAGGUUGAUCGGCCACAUUGGGACUGAGACACGGCCCAAACUCCUACGGGAGGCAGCAGUAGGGAAUCUUCCACAAUGGACGCAAGUCUGAUGGAGCAACGCCGCGUGAGUGAAGAAGGCUUUCGGGUCGUAAAACUCUGUUGUUGGAGAAGAAUGGUCGGCAGAGUAACUGUUGUCGGCGUGACGGUAUCCAACCAGAAAGCCACGGCUAACUACGUGCCAGCAGCCGCGGUAAUACGUAGGUGGCAAGCGUUAUCCGGAUUUAUUGGGCGUAAAGCGAGCGCAGCCGGUUUUUUAAGUCUGAUGUGAAAGCCCUCGGCUUAACCGAGGAAGUGCAUCGGAAACUGGGAAACUUGAGUGCAGAAGAGGACAGUGGAACUCCAUGUGUAGCGGUGAAAUGCGUAGAUAUAUGGAAGAACACCAGUGGCGAAGGCGGCUGUCUGGUCUGUAACUGACGCUGAGGCUCGAAA